This 484-nucleotide ribosomal RNA is filed under the name uncultured bacterium. RNAcentral's name for it is "partial 16S ribosomal RNA". It matches the Rfam family "Bacterial small subunit ribosomal RNA", at positions 30 to 507 of the family's 1533-position model. The record is from RNAcentral.
AUUGAACGCUGGCGGCAGGCCUAGCACAUGCAAGUCGAGCGGAUGAAGGGAGCUUGCUCCUGGAUUCAGCGGCGGACGGGUGAGUAAUGCCUAGGAAUCUGCCUGGUAGUGGGGGAUAACGUCCGGAAACGGGCGCUAAUACCGCAUACGUCCUGAGGGAGAAAGUGGGGGAUCUUCGGACCUCACGCUAUCAGAUGAGCCUAGGUCGGAUUAGCUAGUUGGUGGGGUAAAGGCCUACCAAGGCGACGAUCCGUAACUGGUCUGAGAGGAUGAUCAGUCACACUGGAACUGAGACACGGUCCAGACUCCUACGGGAGGCAGCAGUGGGGAAUAUUGGACAAUGGGCGAAAGCCUGAUCCAGCCAUGCCGCGUGUGUGAAGAAGGUCUUCGGAUUGUAAAGCACUUUAAGUUGGGAGGAAGGGCGGUAAGUUAAUACCUUGCUGUUUUGACGUUACCAACAGAAUAAGCACCGGCUAACUUCGUG